ACAAAGGCUCUUUUCAGAGCCACCACGAAGCAAUUGCUGGAGUUC
This is a non-coding RNA of Otolemur garnettii (small-eared galago), 45 nucleotides long. The record is from Rfam. NCBI's taxonomy places the organism in Eukaryota, Metazoa, Chordata, Mammalia, Primates, Galagidae.